UCGCUUCGGUGCAGCCAAUCAAACGCAGCCGCUGGAGAAAGAGAUUAAAAAAAAAGAAGCGGGGAAAAUUUCCGCCAAGAGGGGGCGCCCUCGGACAACACUCAGGCCCCUCCCACUCACAAUCCUUACUGAACUGGAUUAUAUGGCAGUGUGGACGCAGAUUUCUCUCACUUCCUGUUUACUCUUAACUGCUAUAUGGCCAUGUUCCAGAAGUAUUCUCUCCUGACGUUUCGCCCACAUCUAUGACAGGCAUCCUCAGAGGUUGUGAGAUCAUCUUUCCAGGUAAUAAAGGGGAUCCUAAUGCAGCGCAACUUCCUCCUUCCCAGCCGUGGUUUGAAGACCUGUCACAUUACAGAGAUAAGAGAUCUUACUUUCGGUUGGGCAACGAAAUGGGCCGGGCUGCGUUGCUCUCACCUCAUUGCUUCCCACAGGAGGGGCUCAAUGGGAAGGAUCUAGAAACGGGUGGCUGUGAUGGCUCUAUUUUGGAAAGGACACUCCUCGGGAGUUCUAUCAUCAUUCAUAUUUAGACAUUCAUGGCAUAUCCAAUUUCGUCUUUUUGCACAAAUACACACCCAAAAGUAUACCAUAGCAAACAUGGAACAGGGCUUUUGACAAUUUAUUGGCAAUCACCAAUACUUUUCCUCUAGAAUAAAUGUUAUAUCAGAUUUUUGAAAAAGUUAACAGAUCGAAGCCAUAUCGAAGGAAACGUCAACAGUUUUAUGAUACAUCAAGAAAUAAUUAAGUACCUUUGUUCUUAAUAAGCAGGUAAGAAUUAAGAUUUGUUCUGGAAAAAUAGCAGUUGCUUUUAAUCUCUACUUUAAAAAAUAAUCUGAUUUGUAUCCAAGGAACACGUCAAGUCCAUGAGAAAGGUUAGCCUGAGAUCCUUAAGUCACUUAAGGAUCUCGUGUACAUUUGACAGGCUUCUGAAAUGAAUCUUACUGGCCCUCUUCAAACAUUCAGUCCUCUGUUGUCGAAGGCUUUCAUGGCCGGAAUCACGGGGUUGUUGUGUGUUUUCCGGGCUGUAUGGGCAUGUUCCAGAAGCAUUCUCUCCUGACGUUUUGCCCACAUCUAUGGCAGGCAUCCUCACAACCUCACAACAUCGCUUAAGUGGCGGAGGAGGGGCCUGAGGAUGUCUGCCAUAGAUGUGGGCAAAACGUCAGGCGGGAAUGCUUCUGGAACAUGUCCACUCAGCCCUGAAAACACACAACAACCUGAUUCAGUCCUCUAACAAUCGCUAAGCCAGAAUCCUGGUCCCAUACAAAGAUAGUUUUCAUUCAUUCACAAUGGUCUGGUUAAGUUUAACACAAUAUAGACUAUCCUGAAUCCCCAAAUUAGUGCCCACACGUGGCCAUUCUCUUCCCUUCUGCUCUCUGAUCAGGUGUAUGGGAUUUAAAGUGAUUUAAAGAUGGCCUUAGAGCCAACCUUAAAAACUGUAGCAUAGACAAUGAGAACUGGGAAGCCCUGGCCCUUGAGCGCUCUAACUGGAGGUCAGCUGUGACCAGCAGUGCUGUGGAAUUUGAAGAGGCACAAAUGGGGGGCGAAAGGGAGAAAUGUACCAAGAGGAAGGCGCAUCAAGCCAACCAUGACUGGGAACGCCUUCCGUCUGGAAAAUGAUGUCUUCAUGUGGAUCAAGAACAGGGCUUCACAGCCACCUACGGACCCUCCCCCAAGACACUGCGCUCGGAGGACCAGCAUCCUCGGUCUACGAAGGAUCGCCUAAGUCAGUCAGUCAGUCCAUGGCCAUUCCCUUCUGCUCUCUGAUCAAAUGUAAGCCACUAAAAAGGAGGGAUGGGAGAGGCUUUGGGAAUGGUUGCACAUGCACAAUUAGUCAAGCUGAUGAAAGGCAACGCUACACAACAUGAUGCAGUGAGAAUAGAGACUGACAUGGAAGGCAUGCACCUCGUUUUGCCACUGGGCAAAGUGAGGGAUGCUUCUACGCUCUUCAGUCCAACACGAUUCACAGAACAUUUGUUGACAAAAUAGAACUCAACACAUUUACUUUCCUGUGCUCUCUGUUUUGUCCUACACCAGCAACAGAAGAGCAGUGUGUCAGAAUGACCGGAAACUGGGUAUAUGGCAUCUUAAGGUGCUAUUUGGUUCAAAUGUGCUAAGAAGGGAAACACAGUGGUAAGAAAAGGCUUGUGCAAAUAGGUCUAGCCUUAUUUGUCAAGCCAGGCAAGCGGGAUUGUCAGCACAUUUUCUGCAGCGGCAGAGAGAAAACUAUCUGGCUGCAAAAUAUUCUCCCUUCCUGAGAAGCUGUUAAGAACGGAGUAUUAGAUGCUUGGGGGGGGGGGGGCAGCAUAGAAAGGACGAGGCAAAAACAAAGCAAUCCAAGCAGUCAUUUGCCAAGAGUUGCUGUCUUGCUCUGAAAGCAAAAUACUGUGCAGUGUUCCCUCACUUAUUGUGGGGGUUACAUUCCAGGACCACCCGCAAAAAGUGAAAAUCCGCGAAGUAGGGACGCUUAUAUUUGUGUUGUUUACAAUCUCACUGGCAAGUAGCGUCUCUGUCUGCCACUGCCUUGUGAGGCAAAAACAAAGCGGCUUCAGCCUCCUUUUCUCUCCCUUUGGCUUUUCCUUCCUUCCUUCCUUAGGCUUCUCCUUAGGAAGGAAGUAGAAAGCAGGAUUUAUAUUAUUGUAUGAUUUAUACUAUUAUUUUAGUGUAUUAUUAAAAGACUGCGAAACAGCGAGGGCAUGAAGUAGUAAGGGAACACUGUAGUACAUUUGGGAAAGGUAGGAGAGAUAAAGAGCAGGACUGUUAACAGCCCAGCCAGCCACUGUGCUAUGGUGACCAAUACAGCCAGAUCUGCCCACCUUUAAGGAGGGGAAAAGGGGAAAUUAUUCAACGUAUCCUAGAUCUGCACUAGGACAUUGCUACACUAUCACUGCUACAGGGGGUAAUUGUGCAUUUUUUUUACAUUCGUACCUAUUUUUGCUGGGGAGAACAUACCAUGUCCCAGACAAAAGAUGAGAAAUCCAGUUGCUACAUUUGGCAAAAAACUAUGGAUGCAGGACCCUUGCUGGCUGCAUAGUUCCUACUGUUGGAGGUACAAAGCUAAACCUAUGUACAGAAUCGCCUUGCUUUAGGAACAGCCACAGCAAGAGGCACACACAAGCGAAGGAAAGCUAGGAAGCCAGUGCCCAAGACGGAGCCUAUCCAUAACCUGCAGAAAGACCACCAACAAUAGUUCCCAUUCUGGGUUUUCUUUUGGGGAGGGGUUGCCUCACAUCGAUUCACAAGAAUACUCCGAAACUCAACAGACACCAUUAUGGCAUUUCUAGGGGGGAAAUAAAAGCCACAGAACAAGACUGCUCAGAAAUGUGGUUCUAUCACCCCAAACCAGUUUGAGAUUCUUCUACUGAUAACAAUGUACAUUGUACAUUACAUUUAUUUUUUCCAUCAAUAUAUUAUUCAGAACAUCGUGUUAUACAUCAGCACACAAAAAUAUACAUGAGAGACUCACAUACAAAACCAAGUGGUGACCCCUACGGAGACGGCGGCAGCCACACUCCUUUUAGCCUUCUGAACAUCAAGAACAUGGUAACACAUACUCCAGAAAUGGCACUCUCCUAGUAGUCUGGGACUUAAAGCCCAGUUGAUUUGCUACAUCUUGGAAGUUAACCUUAAAGUGCUCUUCAAAAUGUUGGCAUCUAAAAUCGUCUUGACACGAGACAACUACAAGAGAAGUCUGUUGCUGCUAUGCAUAAGGCAGCAAUGCAAACACGACCGCCAUCCGCUGCUCUUAUUCGUCUCGGAUCAGUAGUGCAUCCCACCCCCUACCUCGAGCGUACAUUCAAGAGUUUUGGUUUCAUUGAGUAAUGUGGGCGGCGGAUCAGGACGCCUUGUCUGCACAAUCUUCUGUUUGGGGUUCUUUAUUUCAUCUUCCUCUUCCGUUUCGCUUUCACAGACAUGGACCACCACACUGGGAGUGGACUCGGUUCCUGCGUGCAGCUCAUACUUUUCUCCUAGAACAUAUGAGGAGUUACAGCAUUACGAUGCAAGCAUGGUCAACAGUCUCUAGCAUAAAUGACUGCUCUCUUUAAUUGAGUUCGGAAUCAUGUACAAGAGCAAUACAGCUCUGGAUCUGCAGAGGACACAUUUCUGAACUAACUAACUAACUAACUAACUAACAACAACAACACUUUAUUUUUCUAUCUUGCCUACAACUCCCAGCAGGGACUCAGGGCGGCUAACACAGGGCCAAGCCCAAAGAACAAAUAAUAAAAUUAAAUAUAUAUAAAAACAUUUUCAAGCAAAUAUAAAACAAAUUAAAACCAUAGUAAUGCAACAUAAUACUAUCAUAAAACUUACUAUGGAAACAGGAAACCAUGGAUAAUAGCAAACCUUACUGAAAUUAUAUUAAUAAUCGUUAUUAUUUAUAUUCAAACACUCUUCCAAGUGUUCUUAACACAAUUCAAAUGAAUGACUUCUGCUGGAAGUUACCAAAUCUAGAGGAUCUGGGAAUUUGCUAGGUCCUCCAGUGCGACUCUGUGGUAACUUCCAGCACUGAAAAUAUGGAAUCAUGUCACCAGCCAAAGUUUCUAAGAGGAUUCCACAAGAACCAACUUUGAGACGGUAUCCUUGUCUAGUUAUCUGGAGAAUAUACCUCACAACCCCCGAGGAUGCCUGCCAUAGAUGUGGGCGAAAUGUCACGAGGGAAUACUUCUGGAACAUGGCCAUACAGCCCGGAAAACACACAACAACCUUAUCUGGAGAAUUACUACAUCUACAGGCCUACUUCUAUCAAUUUUAUGAACACCAGAGAAAGUAAGGCAGAAAGAAGAACUCCUACCAGGCCCCAACUUUGAGACGGCACAGAGUAAGUCAUAGUUGAUCAUGGGAGUGGCAUCUUCGCUGGGCUUCCAUCCGACUGGGGGGGAUGCAGGUGGCGAGAUCAGGAACUGUUUGACUGGUUGCGGGGGCAAGAGGUAAGAUUUGUCUCCUGCUUCGUUGGGCACCUGGAUCUGAAAGAACAAAGCAAUCCAAAAUGUGAGAGAAGGAAAACUAGCUAAAAUAAUUUCAUCUGUGAUGUCAUAUUGUAUCUUAAUGGUACUGGAUGUUAAUAGGCAAGACCUGUAUGCCCAUCGCCUUAUGUAGUACCUUUAUAAUGUUUUAUAUUGUUUCCUUUUUACAUGUUGUAUUCAUUUAUGUAAAUGCCAGUGACCUAUGAUCUAUGUAUUAAUAAAUGAACAAAAAGUAGAAGCAAGGCACUGAGAGGGGAGGAGGCUGUGCACUGAAAUUUCAGAGAUACGAAUGAAUUAUAGACAAGAAACUUGUUCUUCUUCUUUGUGGCUUUGGUGACUCAUGCAUUCAGGUGACUGAUUUACUUUGCUAACUUACCAGAGGUAAGUACACAUUAAACAAAAAUCAAAGACAGGGCAGCUUGAUCAAAGGAAGCAUCCACUCAUAGUUGGAUACCAAGUCCAUAAGAGUUCAAUGAAGUGGAAAUCUGGGAUAAGGGCAAACUUCCAGCUCCUUAACCCUGUAUUAAAAGGCCUUCAACGAUUAACUAUUAGGUUGAACUAUCUGCCCAUCCAACUACAGGUUUUUUCUGCCACUACUAUUUUUGCAUUUUAUUGAGAAACUACCUCUCCCAUUUGAUAUAUUUUGCACUUUGGCCCAGAUCCUUGUUUUACUCUCCUGCUUUUAAUAUUUUAUGCUAUAUGUUGAUUACUAUGAUGGUUUUAUUAAUAUUGAUGUUUUAUUGUUGGUAUAAUUGUUUUAUCAUUUUAUUGUUGUAUGUUGUAUGGGGCGGGGUAUAAAAAUAAAGUUAUUAUUACUAUUAUUAUAUUAUUAAAACUGAACAGAAAACAAGCCAUCUACAAGCACAGCCUCUUUUGCAAAGUAGAAGACACGCAACGGGCUAAGUUUGUCCACAGAGAUUUGAAGUUCUAUUGGGAAAACAGAAAAAAUAAUAACGGACCCCGAAGAUUAAGAUGGGACAUAGACUCUCUAAAGACUGCUUUUACUCCUGGAUCAUAUAUAAAUUACACCAUCACCUUGAGUUAUAAUUCUGGUUUAACAGUAAGGUGGAAAAUGUAUUUCCGUAAUGAAUAUGUACCUGGGCAAAAUACAGCUUCAGCUUUUUCCCGUUAAA
This is a long non-coding RNA of Anolis carolinensis (green anole), 6094 nucleotides long. RefSeq lists it as uncharacterized. The record is from RefSeq and is a predicted model, not a curated record. NCBI's taxonomy places the organism in Eukaryota, Metazoa, Chordata, Lepidosauria, Squamata, Anolidae. The transcript has 3 exons.